AGCAGUAGCCGCGGUAAUACGAAGGGGGCUAGCGUUGCUCGGAAUGACUGGGCGUAAAGGGCGCGUAGGCGGCGGCCAAAGUCAGGCGUGAAAUUCCCGGGCUCAACCUGGGGGCUGCGUUUGAUACUUGGUUGCUUGAGUGGGGAAGAGGGUCGUGGAAUUCCCAGUGUAGAGGUGAAAUUCGUAGAUAUUGGGAAGAACACCGGUGGCGAAGGCGGCGACCUGGUCCUUUACUGACGCUGAGGCGCGAAAGCGUGGGGAGCAAACAGGAUUAGAUACCCCGGUAGUCCCUGUCUCUUAUAC
This 303-nucleotide ribosomal RNA is filed under the name uncultured bacterium. RNAcentral describes it as "partial 16S ribosomal RNA". It matches the Rfam family "Bacterial small subunit ribosomal RNA", at positions 507 to 807 of the family's 1533-position model. The record is from RNAcentral.